RNAcentral lists this transfer RNA (74 nucleotides) under Marmota monax (woodchuck). RNAcentral describes it as "tRNA.Ala". The record is from RNAcentral. Lineage: Eukaryota; Metazoa; Chordata; Mammalia; Rodentia; Sciuridae.
GCUGGGGAUGUAGCUCAGUGGUCGAGUGCUUGUCUAGCACGUGCAAGGCUCUGGGUUUGAUCCCCAGCACAGCA